GGUUCGAUCCCGGGCUCAGAUUGAACGCUGGCGGGAUGCUUUACACAUGCAAGUCGAACGGCAGCACGGACUUCGGUCUGGUGGCGAGUGGCGAACGGUGAGUAAUGUAUCGGAACGUGCCGGGAAGGGAUAUCACGCGAAAGGUAGCUAAUACCGCAUACGCCCUUCGGGGGAAAGCGGGGGACCUUUCGGGCCUCGCAGAAUUAUUAGAGCGGCCGAUAUCGGAUUAGCUGUAGUUGGGGCAACGGCUCACCAAGGCGACUGAUCCGUAGUUAUUUAGAGGACGACCAGCCACACUGGGACUGAGACAUGGCCCAGACUCCUACGGAGGCAGCAGUGGGGAAUUUUGGACAAUGGGGAAACCCUGAUUCAGCCAUCCCGGGCGUGUGCGAUGAAGGCCUUCGGGUUGUAAAGCACUUUUGGUAGGGAAAAGAAACGGCACGGGAUAAUACCCCGUGCAACUGACGGUACCUGCAGAAUAAGCACCGGCUAACUACGUGCCAGCAGCCGUAAUACGUAGGGUGCAAGCGUUAAUCGGAGAAUGCAUGGGCGGGAGUGUAUACAGGUGGUUCUGAAAGGAAAAUAGAUGUGAAAUCCCAGAGCUUAACUUUGGAACUGCAUUUUUAACUACCGAGCUAGAGUGUGUCAGAGGGAGGUGGAAUUCGCGUGUAGCAGUGAAAUGCGGAUAAGGUGAGGAACACCGAUGGCGAAGGCAGCCUCCUGGGAUAACACUGACGCUCAUGCACGAAAAGGUGGGAGCAAACAGGACGAUACCUCUGGUAGUCCACGCCCUAAACGAUGUCAACGUAGCUGUUGGGGCCUUCGGGCUUCCGGUAGCGCAUGUAAUGCGGUGAAGUGACCGCCUGGGGAGUACGGUCAAAGAUUAAACCCAAAGGAAUGAUUGGGGACCUGCACAAGCGGUGGGAUGAUGGGAUUAAUCUGAUGCAAUGCGAAAAACCUUGACUACCCUUGACAUGUCUGGAAUCCCGAAGAGAUUUAAGAGUGUCCUGCAAGAGAACUGGAACACAGGUGCUGCAGCAGGGUUGCCGUCAGUCAGCUGAUGGCAGUUAGUCCCGCAACGAGCGCAACCCUUGUCAUUAGUUACAUGAAAGGGCACUCUUAAUGAGACUGCCGGUGACAACCGGAGGAAGGUGGGGAUGAAGCGUCAAGUCCUGGCGGCCCUUAAGGGUAGGGCUUCACACGUCAUACAAUGGUCGGGACAGAGGGUCGCCAACCCGCGAGGGGGGAGCCAAUCCCAGAAACCCGAUCGUAGUCCGGAUCGCAGUCUGAAACCUGACUGCGUGAAGUCGGAAUGCUAGUAAUCGCGGAUCAGCAUGUCGCGGUGAAUACGUUCCCGGGUCUUGUACACACCCCGCCCGGGCUUCACCGGUGGAGUGGGUUUUACCAGAAGUAGUUAGCCUAACCGUAAGGAGGGCGAUUACCACGGUAGACCGCGACUGUAGUGAAGUCGUAACAAGGUAG
RNAcentral lists this ribosomal RNA (1482 nucleotides) under uncultured Bordetella sp. Its description in RNAcentral is "partial 16S-23S ribosomal RNA intergenic spacer". It matches the Rfam family "Bacterial small subunit ribosomal RNA". The record is from RNAcentral. Lineage: Bacteria; Pseudomonadati; Pseudomonadota; Betaproteobacteria; Burkholderiales; Alcaligenaceae.